RNAcentral lists this transfer RNA (69 nucleotides) under Nephrotoma sp. RNAcentral describes it as "tRNA-Ile". The record is from RNAcentral. Lineage: Eukaryota; Metazoa; Arthropoda; Insecta; Diptera; Tipulidae.
AAUGAGUUGCCUGAUAAAAGGAUUACCUUGAUAGGGUAAAUUAUGUGAAUUUAACAUUCACAUUCAUUA